This 97-nucleotide microRNA precursor is filed under the name Paramuricea clavata. Lineage: Eukaryota; Metazoa; Cnidaria; Anthozoa; Malacalcyonacea; Plexauridae. The record is from RNAcentral.
CAAACUUGAUGGUGUUUAUGACGUCGAAUAUCGACGUUGUAAACACCAAACUUGAUGGUGUUUAUGACGUCGAUAUUCGACGUCAUAAACACCAAAC